AAGUGGUAGCAAUACCAUGAGUAAAGUGGCGCACGGGUGAGUAACACGUGACUAACCUACCCUGGAGUGGGGGAUAACUGAGGGAAACCUUAGCUAAUACCGCAUAAUACCCACGGGUCAAAGGAGCAAUUCGCUUUGGGAGGGGGUCGCGGCCGAUUAGUUAGUUGGCGGGGUAACGGCCCACCAAGACGAUGAUCGGUAUCCGGCCUGAGAGGGCGCACGGACACACUGGAACUGAAACACGGUCCAGACUCCUACGGGAGGCAGCAGUGGGGAAUUUUGCGCAAUGGGGGAAACCCUGACGCAGCAACGCCGCGUGGAGGAUGAAGUCCUUCGGG
Molecule: ribosomal RNA, 338 nt
Filed under: uncultured bacterium
Lineage: Bacteria
Description: bacterial SSU rRNA
Rfam family: Bacterial small subunit ribosomal RNA
Source: RNAcentral